GCUGGAAAAGUUCAGCUGGUGGAACAUGAGACUCUUGAUCACAGGGUUGUGGGUCUGAAUCCCACCUUGGGCA
Molecule: non-coding RNA, 73 nt
Organism: Podarcis lilfordi (Lilford's wall lizard)
Lineage: Eukaryota; Metazoa; Chordata; Lepidosauria; Squamata; Lacertidae
Source: the annotation of a GenBank genome assembly